AUGAUCCAGAGGCAUUCGCGGAAUUGAAAGUGAAGGAGCUUAAGAAUGGUAGAUUGGCUAUGUUCUCGAUGUUCGGAUUUUUCGUACAAGCAAUUGUAACUGGGAAAGGGCCAUUGGAGAAUUUGGCUGAUCACUUGGCUGACCCUGUUAACAACAAUGCUUGGGCCUAUGCUACUAACUUUGUACCUGGAAAGUGAGGUGUAAGUUGUUAGUGUAAUUGUGUGUGUGUUCUCUUCAUGUGCCCACGGAUUCUUGUUUUUAAUGCAUCCUUUUAUAAUGUGUUUAUUAUUAUAGUUUUAUGUUUGUUAAUGGAAUUCUCAACUUUUUAAUUGGGUGUGUGUUGUGAAUGUUAACUAAUCUUACAUUUUUGUUGAUUUUCUUGUUCCACCUUUUAUCAUCAACUGCAUUUUCAGGAACAGUAUAAAUCCACCUUAGAUUUUGUAGACUAUUAAGUAUUCUAAAACAAAUCUAUUUUAUGUGAUACAUGUUUUAACAUUUUAACUUCCAUUCAAACAUCAUCACAAUGAAAUGAUUCAGUAAAUAAGGUUCAAAUACUUUAUUGGGUAUGUGUGUUUGAAGAAACUAAUAGUGAAAUAUAUGGAAGACAAUACAUGAAGAUCGUGGAUUCUUGCGUUGUCCAUUUUAUUUUGGAAAUGAAUGAAUACGCUUAACUCAUUGUUUCUUGGGUUUUGAUGUAAAUAUGUAGAGUACAUGAUUGAGUUUGAGAGAGCUUGAGUGGGAGUAUCAUAACUCACCAGAUAUGUUAAAAUUAAUUGGAGAAGGACAAUAGUUUUGGAAGAAAUGGUGAAAAUAGGUGGUUCAAACUCGCUCACCACAUAAACCUAUAAUUUUUUUACAAAGUAUUGGAAGAAUUCUCUCAAGAGCUACAACACUCCAUAACUUCUUAAUUGAACGUCUCAUAUAAGCUUUUUCCUCGAAAAUUCAUUCAAAGAUGCCCUCGAAAAUUUCUUUAAAGAUGCAAACUUUUUUUCAAGACUUUAACUUCAAGAACAUCAACUCUACUUAUUCAAAUCAAACAUAACCAUCUAACCAAGAGAAAAUAAAAGAAUCAAAUACUAGAAAUCGAACCACAUUACAUCAAAACAACACAAAUACAACCAACACAAGUUCAACUUUAGAAAUUAAAUUUCUCUGAAAAUCUCGUACCAACAAAUAUCAUACAUUUUCUUUUCAUAUUUUUAACAAUACUAAAUUUAAUAAAAUUUAGGGGUUUUUUCAAAAAAAAUUAUUUACACUACCACAGAACAAACCCAACAAAAUUCAUUACAUUUAACUUUUAUAUGAAAGGUAAAUAUUUUGUCAAAAUGUUCUAUUUUUUUUUAUAAUUUUCUUAAUAUAAUUUAUUACUUAUUUAAACAUUUUUUUACAUGUUAAUAAAUUAUUAUAUGUAAAUAAAGAAUAUUGCUUUCUUAUAUAUAUCAUAUUGACCAAUUUUAUAUUUAUAGAUAUAGCGGAGUAGCUAAAACUUUCUAUUUUAGUAUUUUAUCAUUUUGUUAAUAAACUAAUAGAUUAAAAAUCUAAAACCUUGUUUUUUUUUUAAAUAACGAAAAUUCAAAUUUUAUUGCGGAAAAAAAUUAUCAAAAAUAGCAAAUUUGACAAAAUAUUUAUAACUAGCAAAAUUUUCAAAUUCUAUCAAUAUUGUUAUAAUUUGUAAAUAUUUUAACUUAUUUUACUAUUUUUAAAAAUAUCUCUAUUCCCAAUCCUUCUAACUAAAAUUUGUGAAUAAUUAUUUUAUAUAUAUUCUUUAAAAAUAUCGAAACUCUUCCAAUUGAGUAACAAAAAUGUAGGAAACCACAGGUGUUAAAACUUUAUACAAAAAUGUUAAAUUGAUAGGAAAAAAAAAUACUAGUUUUAUGUACUGAUUAACAAUCUUACAAUAUCAUAAAACAUUGAAAACAAAGAGAAAAGAAGUGGAAAGGCCUUCUAAUAAUCAGUAUCUAGGAAGUAUUCUACCGAUUUAAAUACCAGCCAUAAAUAUCUAUAAAUCUGAAAUGUAUUCACAAAGUACCAUCAUCUUUAUGCUUGAAAACGUAUCCUCCAUUUGAAAGUCACUAUUUUUAGUGCCUAGAUGAACCUCGGCGGCCAACAUUAUUUCUGAAUGUGGAUCUCCUUCUGUGAGAGAUGAUGUUGUUUUGUUCCAGUCGCCGUUGCUUUUUACCUUUUGUGACAGUUUGUUUUUUCCGUCUCUUCUAUUUUAUGACACGAUUGUUGUAGUAGAUAGUUUUUAUUGUGGUGACAAGAAGGAAAAAGUUCUAAUAAUAAAGCAAAAGUCGUGGAAAAUGACGAUUUGGUUGCCAUCAUUUCUGUGGUAAAUAUUGCUUGGAUACUAGAGGUUGGGGGAUUUAUACUAGGGCAACUAGGCACAUUUGUAAGGACAAGUCAUGGUUCAUUACAUAUGAGAAGUAAGAUGGCAGUGAUAAGUUGUACAUGGAUAAUGUUUCAACUGCCUCUGUGGAAAGCAAAGGGAAAGAUCCUACUAAAAUCAACUUUUGGAAAGAUACUUACUCUCUUAAUGAUGCGUCAGAAACUCUACUUAAUAAAAGAUGGGUUCAAGCUUGUAUUUGAGUCAAAUAAAAUUAUUCUAACCAAGGGGUAUGUAUGUGGUAGAAGACUAUCUAAGGGAUGUCAUGCUCAAAUUGAAUGUACUUGCACAAAUGCCAUAGAAUAAUAAUAAUAAUAUCAACUCUUGUGCUUAUAUUGUCUAUUAUCAACUCUUGUGCUUAUAUUGUCUAGCUAUGUGAUGUUUGACAUUCUAGAUUGGAGCAUUUAAUUAUCUAUUUUCUUUAAAUAAAAUGGUAAGUUUAUAACUAUCGUUGAAUUUAAAAAUUAGUAAUAGACAAAAAUGUUAAGUUUGUGUUAAAUCAAAGUUUACUCGAAAGUCAUUUGUAUAUAUGAAAAGAAGUAACAUUAAUGAGUUACUUUAUUUAAUCUUCAGUGAUGAUGUGACAUGAAAAGUAUUCCCACAAGUGGUGGUAAGAGAGACUUUGUCACAUUCAUUGAUGAUUGUAGUAAAUAUUGCUAUUUAUAACAUACUAAAGAUGAGACCUUUAAUAUUUCUAAGGCAUAUAGAAGUUGAAAAUCAACUUGAGAAGAAAAUAAAGAUUCUUAGAUCAAAUAGAGGUAGUGAAUAUGAAUAAUCAUUUCUAUAUGAAUUUUGUGAAGCUAAAGGUAUAAUCCAUCAAACUACAUAACCUUAUACACCACAAUAAAAUGGUGUUUUUGAAAGAAAUAGCCAAAUUUUAAAGGACAUGGUUAAUUGGAUGUUAAAUACUUCAUGUUUACUUCACAAUUUAUGAGGGGAAGCUUUAUUUGCUUACAACAAAGUUUAUAGUAAAUACAAUUCCAUAUAAGAAAACUAAUAAGUUGGGUUACAAAGUGUGGAAUGGAAAUCUGCCUUCAAAAGUGUGGGGUACUUGACAAAGGUACAAGUUCCUUUACAAAGAAGGGACCAAACAUGGGCCUAGCUAAGACAAUUGAUUGUGUAGCUAUAAACAAUGUUGCUUGGUGAUUAAAUAAAAAAUACAUGAUAUUAAUUAUAAUACCAUAUGAACACAUUGAAGCUAGAUUAUUUGAGGAUAUAUUUCCUUUAAGAAAGGAAGGACACACAAUUAUUGGUGCCAAAAGAACUAGUGAGGCUAGCUCUUCAAAAGGUCAAAAGAUGUUCUGAAAACUAAGUUUGAAUGUAGAAGAAACAAAAGAGCUAGGAAAGCUACUUCUUUUGGACUUGAUUUCAUAACUUACAUGAUAGAAGGUGAGUCUCAAACUUUUCAAGAAGCCUUAUCAUCUCCUGAUGCACCUUAUUGGAAGGAAGCUAUCAAUAGUGAGUUAGAAUCUAUUUUACAUAACAAUACCUGGUUAUUGGUUGAUUUGCCUCCACGAAGAAAAUCAAUUAGGAGUUAAAUGGAUUUUUAAGUAAAAGCUAAAGGUGAAUGGCACUAUUGAUAAAUAGAAAGCCCACUUAUUAGUUAAAGGCUUUUGCCAAAAGGAAGGACUAGAUUUCUUCGACACCUAUUCUCCGAAUUACAUCUAUAAAGGUGUUAAUUGUAAUAGCAAAUUUACAAAAUUUAAAAAUACACCAAAUGGAUGUAAAAACUCAUUUUUAAAAGGAGAUUUAAAUGAAGGAAAUUUAUAUGAAACGACAUGAAGGGCUUGUUGUUAAAGGACUUAAAAAUAAAGUUUGUAAACCUGUUAAGCCUUUUUAUGGGUUGAAACACGCACUAAAACAAUUGUAUGAAAAGUUUGAUCACACUAUGUUAUUGAAUGAGUUUAAGAUAAAUGGGUGUGAUACAUUUAUCUACAUGUUAAAACCAUGGAUCAAGAGUAUAUCAUUGUUUACUUAUAUGUUGAUGAUAUGUUAAUAAUGGACACAAAUAGGAGUGUCAAUGGUUCAACUAAGAGGAUGUUGAAGAAAAACAUGAUGAAGGUGUGUCGUCUCUAGAACAUUGUAAAGUUAUUGAUAGCUUAACGUACCUAAUUAAUUGUACAAGACCUGAUAUUCUCUUUUAAGUAGGAAUGUUAGCAAGAUACACCAUCAAUCCUAUGCAUAACCAUUGUAAUGUGUUAGUAAGAGUUUCUAAGGUACUUGAAGUACACUCUAGACUAUAGAUUACAUUAUAUGAGGUAUCCACAUGCACCGAAAAAAUUUAGUUAAGAUAAUCAAAUUUAAAAAAUGGAUAUAAAUCUCGAUUUCCAAAUUUUCUCCAUAUUAUGUAAUUAAAAAAAUUAGUUAAGAUUUGGGAAGAUAGAAUGUAAGUAAUAUCUACCUAGAUGCAUCGGAAACCCAAAACAAUCGAUAAAUUGAAAAAAAAAAUCAAUAUUUUAGCGAAAUCUCAAUAUCGGGAUGGACAUGUUUCAACAAUUUUUAAAAAAGAGUGAUAGUUUUAUACGACAAAACUUAAACGACGUUAUUUCUGACAAUUCUCCCUCUAUUUGUUUUAGUUUAAUUUAUGUGAGAUGGAAAGAAAAAAGAUGAAGUGGUUUUUUCAGAAAGUAAACAUUGAGUAAAGUUGAAGGAAAUUAGUUGCUAUUUGCAUUUUCAGGCAACUCAAAAACCAAAGUAAAUCCAUUUAAUCAAAAAUUAAAUUUAAGUUCAAAUGUAAUUAGACAUUGUAAUUUGUAAUUAGAAGAUUUAUUUGACCUUAAAUUUGUUUUCUAUAAAAUAAAAAAUAAAUAAGUUUCAAGGAAUGCGAAAUGAAACCAAAUUAUCACAAUCCCUUAACACCUAAUUGUACCAUUUUUCAAAUUAAAAAAAAAAAUCCAAUACUCAAAAUCUUCUAACGUUUAAAAAUAUCUCCAUCUUUUUUUUUUUUUUUUGAUUUAAUUCCUAUGCUUUAAAUUUGUAAUAAUUUCGUCUUUAAAUUUUAGCAUGAAAAAUAUGGAUGAACUUUGUGAUAUUUAUCUUAUCAUCUAUGGACAUUUUGAAAUGUUAAUAGAUGUCUUUAAAAACAUAUUUAUGAACUAAAAUUGAUAAAAUGUUUUUAGGGUGAUUUGAUGAAUUUUUUUUAUUGCAAGAAAUAGGUUGUUACAAAUUUAAAAAUAUAAAGUUAAUUAUCAAAUACUAAUAUUUAUGAACUAAAUGAAAACAGAUUUGGAGAUAUAAAAACUAAAUUGUUAUAAAUUAGAGUUAUGUCAUUCAAAUAAUACUUUUAAACUACUCUCAAUUCUCAUGGAUUGAAGUAUGCUUUCUUUCAAAACUUUAAUGAAUUAUCAUAAACAACUAAAAUCUAUUUGAUACACGUUUUUAAAAGUACAUAAUAACUGAAUUGAUUGGGUUUGUAUUAUUAACUUUGAAUUAUUAAAAAAGUAAAAUAGGUUUAGAAGUUAAGAGCAGAAGAAGGAAAUGUAAUAUACAAAGUUUGAUGGUUAAUUUGGUAAGAGUUCCAAGAUGAAAAUUGUUUAAAAGGAAAGAAGUUAGUUUAGAGAGAGUGCAGUGAUAGUGUUGGGAGAGUCGGCAUGUCGAUUACUCAUCAUGCGGCAGUCUGAUUGAAACGAUAUGUGGUAAUUACAUAGUUAUUAUUAUGAAUAUGAAUAUGAAUAUGAAUAUGAAUAUGAAUAUGAAUGAUAUUGAAUUGAGAAGAAAAGAAGAAUUGAGUUGGGGAAAAGGUUGAGUCCAUUCCAAUUCUCACGCCGGCUUUUCUCUUUAAUUGCCGCUAUAAUUGAUGGAUUGUUCAAUGUUUUUUCCUUUUCUACUUUGAAAAUUUCUAAACAAACAAUAAAUGCAAAAAGAAGAAAAAAAGAAAAAUCAAUUCCAAAUUCCAAAACCAGUUGAGUUGACCCAAUUGUCUCCUUAAUUUUAUUCACAUCUAAUAAAAAAUUAAAACUUUUCUAAAGAAUCAAUCAUCAAAUUCUGGGUUUUUCUCCCCUUUUUCAAACAUAAUAAGAAAAAUGAAAAAUUUUGAUAUUGAUUGUUUGUUUCGUUGGUGAUGACUGAGAAGAAGCCGUAUUAAUCUACACUCUUUGCCUUUUACUUUCACCGUUUUUUUGGUUAUGCCUUUUCCUUUUGCUCCAAAUGAUUACAAGCCAGUUGUCGAAUUAAUACCAUUAACGAUCAAGAUCAUUCCCAUCCCCCCUUCUCUUAACGGUGUUAGAUGCGUCUCCCCAUUUUGCUUUUUCACCAAAAAUCCGAUUCGACCCGGCUUAAAGCCUUUGAAUUUGGAGUUUUGGGACUUGGGAUUGAAUUGGAUUGGGAAUUCAAUAUUUGGGUUUGAUUAGUUUUUGACUCUUUUUCACAACUUUACCUUCUUCUUCUUCUUCUUCUCUUCUCUUCUUCUUCUUCUUCUCUUCUCUUCUUCUUCCUCUUUUGUGUGUUGUUUUAUUUUUCUGGUAUUUAUGUUAUGAAUGUCCUAUUCUUGUUCGUUUCUUUUUUGCGUUUCCUUUACUGUUUUUCCUUUCUGUGGUUUCCUCCAUUGCAAACCAAGCUUCCUUUCCAGCUUGCAGAGAGGUCCCUUUGUACUUGACGCUUUGCCUUACAAUACCCACCAACCAUUUUCAUCCACCUUUUCUUUUCUGACCCUUUAAAUCCUCUCCAAUUAUCUUAUUCAAUUCUCUCUCUUUCUCUCUCUCUCUCUCUCUCUUUCCCUUCUUCCCUUCUUAGUUCUUCAACCCCUUUCCUCUUUCUAAGGAUUAGAUUUUUGUUUUUGUCUGUGCUCUUCUCCUCUUCUAUUUUAUCAUUCUCAGAAUUUCUCUUUGGCCCACUAUCCCUACUUGUUAAUUACUCCUUUACUAUUAUAUCUUUUUGGGGCUUUGGAUUUGUUGGGGUUUGAGUUUAUUUCAGACAACAUUUUGGCCUAUCCCUCCAUGCCUUUUGGGUCUCCAUUGGCUAAACACGAUUCGCUUUGUUUCCCUUUCUGGGUUCCUGGAGGAAGGGGCAAAUCUGGGUCUAUCUUUGAUCACUACAUGAGGUAAAUCCCUUGUUCUUUAAAUCACUGUCUGUUACACGAAUUACAUUGCUCUUGUCUCUUGUUUGGAUCGAGGAAUUGUGUUUUUUUGUGGUAUUUUCUUCUUUUGUCUAGACCUGAAAUUUGAACUUCAUAAUUGGUUGUGCGAGAAAUUAGGUUUCGGAAAUGUUUCUUGGGAUUUUGUAUGGAAGGCUUUUGCUAUGGUUCAACUUCAAUAGUCUAUCCAGAUGGAUAAGAAUUGAUGAUAUAAAACUGUGUUCAAUGAAAAGAACUCAAUAUUGAUUUCGGCUCAGCUCAGUUGAAGUAUUUGUAGUGGUGUUUAUAAAGAUCUCAGUGAGACAUGGGGCAUUGUGAUGGUUGUUGUUGCUUCACCUUGGAGUUCUUGGUCAAAGAACUUCUUUACUCUUCACUUCCUUUAUAAUAAUCCCUGAGUUGGUGUAUAUCUUCUGUAAUCUUGUUCUUAUCAAUGCAACUGCUUGUUCUAAUUAAAAAAGAUUACUGAUGUUUGGUUGAUUCUCUAUUUCUAGGUCCUUAAUCCUUAUAUCAUACAUGAAUUUCCAGAUGGGAAUGUGUUGAAAAUUAAGAGGUUGAACUUGAAGUUUCCUGUGGCUUGGAAAUUUGGAACUUUAGUAUACAGUGGAUCAGAUAUGGCGUCUGGGAGUUCAUUGAAUGAUCAUUUAUCCAAGAAGACUUCAUUUUGGGGAUUGUCAUUAUGGGUUUUGAUCUGCAUUUGCAUUGGUGCAUUUAUAAUUUUGAUUCUUGGUUUGUUAUCUAUGUGGAUCCUGUUUAGAAAAAAAUCUAAAAGAUCUAUGGACAAAUUCCCUAAUUUUAUAAAAGAUAUCAGGAUAGAUCAGGUUGGGAUUCAAACUCCCAAUGACCACCCUGAACAUAGACUUCUUUCAGUUGAUGUCAAAAGAAAUGAUGAAAAUUCAGAAGUAAGGGCUGUAACAAAAUCAAGUGAACCUGAUAACAAUAGCCAAUGCAGCUCCACUUACCAACAUGAAAAAGCUGGCAAUUCACAAUCUGGGGAAGAAGGAAGCUCUGGAAAUGCUCGUAAGCAGGCUUCAAGGUCGUAUGGAGGAUUUGGAGGAGUUGUGCCACCGUCUCCUCUUGUUGGCUUGCCAGAAAUUUCACAUCUUGGGUGGGGCCACUGGUUCACUCUCAGGGAUCUAGAGCUUGCAACUAAUCGUUUUUCCACUGAAAAUAUUCUUGGAGAGGGAGGAUAUGGGGUUGUGUAUAAGGGCAGACUCAUUAAUGGCACUGAGGUUGCAGUGAAAAAACUUCUCAAUAAUCUGUAAGGAUUUACUGUUCAAAGAACAACAUUGUUCUUUCCUAAUAUGGUACUUUUGGAAAAUUUGCUUAUUGACUUGAAAUGCAUUUAGGGGUCAGGCAGAGAAAGAAUUUAGAGUUGAAGUGGAAGCUAUUGGCCACGUUCGGCAUAAGAAUCUUGUCCGACUGCUGGGCUAUUGCAUAGAAGGAGUUCAUAGGUAUUACAGAAUUCAUCAUCAUCUAUUAUUAGUCUUCAUUAAAAAAAUACCAGAACCCUUUUUGGGGUUGUUAAGAUAUAUAUACAUGUUUUUCAUGAGUCGUAUUUUACCGUUCCAUUUCUCUAUGUUUUCUGAAAUUUGCUUAUUGCUCUGAAAGCUAUUAGAACAGUUGACUUUACCCGUUUUCUUCGUGUAGGAUGCUAGUAUAUGAAUAUGUGAACAAUGGAAAUCUAGAACAGUGGCUACAUGGAGCCAUGUGCCAACACGGCACACUUACUUGGGAGGCUCGCAUGAAGGUGCUUCUUGGCACUGCUAAAGCGUAAGUCUUCAAAAUAUAGCCUGCCAAUUGCAAGGAUAGUUCUUAUAGUAGUAAUAUGUUUUUUAAUUGAUUUAUUCUCAAGUGCUGUGUUUGGUGCAUUAGCAACUAACAUACAUAAGACAAGAGGACUAUAGGCAGGUUUAACAUAGAUUCAUGUAUAUUAACCUUAUGCAGGCUUGCGUAUUUACAUGAAGCAAUCGAGCCAAAAGUUGUUCACAGAGACAUAAAAUCAAGCAACAUUUUGAUUGAUGAUGAGUUCAAUGCCAAAGUUUCUGAUUUUGGAUUGGCCAAACUCUUGGGCUCGGGAGAGAGUCACAUCACAACUAGAGUUAUGGGAACAUUUGGGUAAAAUGGAGCUCAUUUCAUUGAGAUUUUACCAUCCCUUACUAGGAGCCGUAGUAUAAAUUUAUCUUUUACAAAUUUCAGGUAUGUGGCGCCAGAAUAUGCAAAUACAGGCUUGUUGAAUGAAAAGAGUGACAUUUAUAGCUUCGGUGUUCUCUUGCUAGAAGCAAUUACAGGGAGGGAUCCUGUGGAUUAUGCACGUCCUUCUAAUGAGGUAUCUAUUAUUUUUAGACCCCUUUUUUUACUCUACCCUAACUUGAUGGUUGUGCAUGUCAAUAUCUUGGUAACCUGCCGGAAUUCCUAUUUUACAUCUUUGAAUGCGGUUAUUUUGCUGAUUCCUUGCUAAGAAGCACGGACAUGGAUAUGAAACACAGUCAAGACACGACACAGACUUAGUGACACACCAUUUUUUUAAAAUCUAGGACACGGCAAGGACACGUUUACUAAAAAAUUCAUUUUAAAAAAAUAUAUGCCAUCUUUAUAGUAAAAAAAACUCAUAGUAAAUGCAUUGAUGCAUUUAUAUUCUUAGAAGACUUAGCUUGGUGUAUUCUACACUCAAAAGUUAUAAUUAUUGUCAUAUACGUGUCUUUUUAGUCUACUUAAAGAGUGUUCUAUGUAAGUCCAAUGCCAUUUGUUGCACCAACAAGUAUCCGAUAGGUGUCCACCAAGUGUCGGAUUGUCCAAGUGUCUGAUAGACACAUGUUCGACACAGACACACUAUCCAAAGUAAAGUGUCCAUGCAUCUUAGAUUCCUUGGAGAGAUUUAUCUUGUACUACCAGAUGCUUUCUUUGUACUCGCCUGUAUCUGUUUCACAAUCCCAUAUCCUUACUGUUCAAUCAAUCUUCAUUUCUUAAGGAAAUAGCUUCUGGCGAUAUUUUUAGCUACUGCACGCAUUUCAUAAAGUAUUCUAGUUAUUAGUUAUAUUGAUUGCUUGUUGAAACCCUGUGAAUUGCGUUUUUGUCAGGUUAAUCUGGUUGAGUGGCUAAAGAUGAUGGUAGCAACAAGGAGAGCAGAGGAAGUUGUGGACAUGAACCUAGAGAUCAAGCCAACUACUCGUGCUUUAAAACGUGCCCUUCUUGUUGCUCUUAGGUGUAUUGAUCCUGAAUCAAUCAAGAGACCCAAAAUGAGUCAUGUUGUAAGAAUGCUUGAAGCCGAUGAAUUUCCACUCCACGAGGUAUGAAAAUCAUUAUCUUGUUCUGUGAUUGCAUCAUUGGUUGUUGUCCCUUUGUCAUUUGUCUAAACUUCAAAGCAUUUCACUCAUUUGUUGGCUGGCUCUACAAUAAUGAUUUUCUUUAAAAUAACAUGCUUCCGAUCUAGCUAGGUGCCACUUGUUCAGUUUUACUAAAAGCAAAAAGUCUUGUCUAAUGCAUUGGGUACAAUAUGAUUCAAGUUUCUCUGAUUUCACCAUGUGAGAAAUUUGUAGUUUUAACUCCUUUUCCAAAACCUCAUGACAAUUUCUGUUUCCUUAUCAUUUAAAGAGAAUAUUAUAGGACAAUGGCUAUUAAAUUUUUGUGCAACUGCAUUCAAGUCUCUACUGUGACCACAUUUUUGGACACUUCUGCUGGAACUUGUUAGAUGUAUAUACUUUAUUGUGGUCCUAUGUUGGCAUAGUUGUGUUGGCAGCUACGUCGUCAAGCUUUCUUUAUUACACAGUCAAAACACUUGACGAUGUGUGUUCUGCUACAGAACCUGAGUCAUUCGAGUCUCCAUCAAUCCAUUAUUAUGUUACUAAAACAUCUCAAGAUGUUUCAUUUCUUCACCAUGCAAAACUCCAUCCUAAACAAAUCAUGGUUCAGAAACCAAUUUGAUUUAGCAGUGAAGUGUUCGCUAAUGGUUCAAAGAUACAGUGGGAAAGUUCAUCUUUUACAUACUACUUUGCAGGAUAGGAGGAGCCGAAAAAGCCGAUCAAUAAGCUUGGAGAUUGAGUCAAUGAAAGAAAUAUCAGGUUCAGACCAGACGGGUGGGCCGUCCGAGAGCCAUAAAUCAGAGACAAGCCAUGAAUAGAACUGACAAAAGCAUGAGCAUAGUAAAUUAUUGCACCUCCCAUGUUCAUGUCUAUAAAAAAAAAAGUUGUUUUUCUAGAGAGAAGUUUGAAUUGAUGGUGGUCUAGCAUCUGCUGUUUGCUCAUUUCAGGAGUACUCUUAGAGUUCAUGAAAUAGUGAUGAAAAGGAGAGAGGUCCAACAAAAGAGCCAUUUUCAUUUUCCUCACACAAGAACUAAAGGUCUGAGAGAGGCAGAGAGAUUUAGAGAGAAUGGGAGAGAGAUUGUACAGGCUUGUCUGAAGGACCACCGGACAUGGCUGAGCUGGUUUGGCUUUAAUUUACAUCAUUGUAAUUUCGUCUCUUGUUUUUCAACCUUUUUUUUCUCCUUUUUGAGCGUCUCUUUGAUUGCUGCUGUUCUGUGCAUGGCGACCAUAAUUCAAAUCCUAUUUAUUUCUUUUCUUUUUCACCAAUAGAGAAUGAGUUUCUGGUUGGUUCUGCAUUGACCAUUCCCAUGCUUUUGGCUAUCAUUACACUUUCCUCGUUUCUCAUCUUUCUACAAUAUCGAUUGAAGGGUCUUAAAUUUGUAUUUAUGUUACUAUUUUGAUCCUAGAAUUUAGAGGAGUGUGUUCUACGAACUCUUUUAACUCUCCUAGUGUCUUUUGAUCUAUAAAUAUAACAUUCUUUUUGGUAAUAGUUUGCUCAUUCUCUGUUGGUUGAGAUAGCUAAAUUUGUUAGUGAAUUAAGUAAAUCUCUAUGAUCAAGGCACGUUUUAUAUUUUCUUUGUUUGUCGAUGAUUUUGACUUGCUCCCUGUUGCAGCAAAAGCAUUAAUAAUAUGUUCAUUGGUAUGAGGUAAUCGCUUUCAAAGAAGAGGAAAACUUGAUGUUGUGAAAUGGAGAAAUUGAUGGGUAAAGAGUGAAAAAAAUAAAGUAAAAAUCAUGUGAAUUUCUAGUACUACCAGAGGGUGAUGAUGAUGAUGAUAAUAAAUGAUGAAAAGGAAUGGAGGUUGGUUUUGUUUGAUUGAUUGAUUAGUGAAAGUGAAGUCAUCUCUUAGUGAAGUAAUGUUGUGAAGUUAAAGCAAGAAAAGAAAAAAAUAGUUAUAAACUGUGUUUGCAUUAUAUUUGCCAUUGGUCAGAGGCAACCUCAAUUUUCAAAGUUUUGUUGUUUGGCAAAUCAAUUAAUGUCCAUCAUUACUUUCAUUUUCAUCCUUUCUCUUCCUUUCCCUUUUUCCUCCAUCUCUCAGUUUUCAUGUUUCUUCUUGCAUUUAUUACUAUUUUUCUUCUUCUUUUUAGAUUAAAUUGAUAGUGUAUUUUGAAUUAAUUUCUUGAAAAAUAAUGCUUUUUGAAUAAAAAUUCAUUUUUCUCAAGGUUUGCGAAAAUUCUAAAAUACAUUUUUUUUUGUUUUAUGAAGAUCGUUAGUUUUUGUUUACAAAAAAAGUUAAUAAUAAUAAUUUAUUGGUCUUUCAUUUCAUACCUCCCUUCCACUUAUUUUUCUUCUCUUUGAUACUCUCUUCUACUUUCCUUCUUUCUUUAUUUAAUAUCUAAAAUCAACAAAAGAAAGGAAAAUAAUUGGAGUAUGUAGGGAUCUUACAGACUUACAAUGUUUCAACCAUAUUUAUAUUUAUAUUAGAGACUGAAUAUGAAUAUACGUUCCAAUUUCAACACAAAAUAAACCAACACCAUAUAUUUUGCAUUAGAUUUUUCCCUUAAGCCAUCAAUUUCUCUUUUCGGCCUAACUUGAAUAAACUCAUUUUGGUCCCAAGUCUUUAAAAAAUAGGAUUAAUUAAUUUCAUACAUUUAUUUAAAUAAUUAUGACAUUUUAUAUUAAAAGAAUUUUUUCUAAAAGUAAUACCCUCUUAAAAAAAAAUCUAAUUUAAAUUAUCGGUUGAAAAUCAAACCAAAAAAAAUUUUAAAUGACUUUUUAACCUAUUUUUAAAAACUCAAGAACUUAAAAAGUAACAAUUAAAAAAAGUAAAAAUCAAGUGAGGUAUUCUUAUAAAGAUGAGGAUAAAAAAUGUUUAUUUCUUAAAUCUCACGGAUCAAAUGCACAUCUUUCAAAACUUUGGAGAUUAAAAAGAGGUUUUUUUUUUUUCUUUUAAGAUAUUAAUAGGAGUUAGGGAACCAGUUCAUAGUUGUGAACACAUAUAGAUGUUAAUUAAUCUCAGCACCCUUUAGAAAUAACUUGUUUUUACCCUUUAAAUGUUUUAAUAAAAAUUUUAAAUAUAAAAAUAGCUUCUUUUUUUGUUUGCUAAAUUACAUAAAAAAUUCCUAAAUUUUGUACUCUAUAUAAAAAAUAUUAUUGUACUUUGAAAAGUUUUAAAAUAUUCUUAAGAACUACCCUUUAGUUUUGGAUGGGAAUCAAUGUCUGUGUUAAAAAAACACUUUUACUUUUAUCUUUUAUCUCUCUCUCCUCUUCUUUUAAUCUAAUUAUCCCUUUUGUUAAUGGUUCCACCUUUGUUUAUCUCAAAACAAAUAAGUAAAGCUGCCUACUUAGUUUAGGGUGUAUAUAAGCUAUUCCAAGAAAAAAACGUGAAUAAUGAAAAUACCAAAGACGUAAGGAGAACAUUCGAAACUCGUAAUUGCAUUGAAAUGAAAUGUGUAAUGUAACAAAAGUUCAUAUUUAGAUUGUCCAUUUUGUGCUUGAAUUGUUAUUAAAAAAUUCAUUCUAUUUCAACAUCUUUCAAUUAAAUUAUAUUUUCAAUCGUUUUCAUGUUUUACGAACACAUUUUUGUUCCGCUCUCAAUUGGGCAUGCAUUCCAACACCUAUUUGGUUACAGUAAUUUUGAUUACAUUACAAUAUGUUGAUAACGUAGAGUUAUUUUCAAGAAUGUAUUGAAAAUUUAUGAUUGUGUUAAAAGAUUUUUUAAAAAGAAAAAUUAUGAUAUUUUUGAAGAGUUGAGAAGCAGUUUAUACACAAAUUAGAAAGUCCCAUAAUAUCAUUAUGAUAAUUUAACCCUUUUAUUUCAAUGAUUGUUAGUCCCCUACACUUGUAAGCAUAAUGGAAAAAGGAAUAAGAAAACAAAUUGAAAAAUAGAGAAAUAUUGGGUAUCACAAACAUGUGGAGAUUCUAAUUGACACAAAUCAUCAUAUAAAUCCCAACUCCACCACUCACCACUUUCAAUUUCAACCCUCUCUCCAUUAUUUUCUAUACUAAUUUCACUUUAUUUUUCAAUUAAUCCCCAUUUAAUUUAUUUUCUUUACCCUGUUUCUAUUGUUUCUUUUAAGUAAUACAACCAUUAUACUAUAAUCUUCUAUUGAUACACAAAAAGAAAAGAACAUACAGGGUCGACUUAAUCUAACUUAACCUUUUUAUUUGAAAAAAAAGUUUAAAUAUAAAAACAAAAACUUGAUAAACUAAUGAAAACUGAGCAUUACAAGGUAAUCUUCCCACUUCUAAUAAAACCCUGAUACUAAUAGUGGGCAUGAUUGUAGAUAAUAUUUAAAAUCUUCUCACCCCCUAGUUAAUAUAUUUUAAAUAAAUUAGAAACAAAAAUUCCAAAUCAUUGCUUAAUCUUUUUCCCUAUUGCACCUACACUAUAUAUAUGUACAUUAUCCACAUAGUUAGAUGCAAUUUGAAAUGUAGGCUUAUCUAAAUAACUAUUUGAUAUCUUUUCAUUUUUUUAUUUAUAAAUUAUUUAUUCUCUACGUUAUCAACAUAAAACUCCAUCAUCCAUAUUAUUUAUUUAAUUAACUACAUAUCCUUCAUCCAUCAAAACUAUAAAAAAAAAAAUAAUGAAAAACACAUAAAUUAAUUCAAUAUGGUUCAUCAUAACUAUAGUACAUUGUCUUAAUUAAGAACAAGAAAUGAGAUAUUAGAGGUAAGAAGGAGGAAUUCACUAAAUUAGGCUAACUAUUAUAAAGCCAAAUACACAUAUAUAUAAUUAAUAAUAAUUAAGGAAAGAGAGAUUAAUAAUUUAAUUUGAUGGGUGUUGGUUUGAAUUAUUAAAUGAUGGAUUAUUGAUAAAAUCUUGGAACAGGCCGCCAUACUGAUAUUGUUGGUGCAGAUUUUCACAGAAGGACUCGGCGGAGAAGAAGUUGGGCGACGGGGGAAACAAGGGCGGAGUGACGGAGGGCGGCAAGACUCCGGUGGGGUUAUGGCCACGAAGUGUAAUUGGACAAUAAUGGUUGUGUUUGCCUUCAUAUGUUGUUAUAACAAAAGAUGGAUCUUCUGAUGAUCUUUCUACUCUUUUUUUCACACUGCAAUUUUGACUUGUGCAUUUAUAAUAACUUCUGCAUACUCCAACAAAGAUCGCUUCAGUUUCAUUUUAGUUUUUUUUAUCUUUUUCAAACUUAAGUUUAUGAACCCAAUUCUUUUUUUUAAGGAAAAAGAAAGCAAUAUCAUUAUUGUUCUUCUUAUGUUACUUUCUACCUUCAAUUAAAUCUCUAUCUUAAUAUAUUAUUAUCUCUAAGUUAGUUCGCUAAAUUAAAAUGAUGCUCGUAUUUAACAUUUAGUAGCUAGUAGGGGAUAUACAUAAAGUCAUUAAUUUUGUUAAAAUUAGAAUAAAAGUGAUGAUCAAAAUUGUUUUUAUGUUUUCUAAAAGUAGUGGACUAAAAUAAACUAUUGAAAGUUUGAAAACCAGAAUAAAGUUGAAACAUGGGAUGCUAGAAUUUAAACAACGAAGUAAUUUUAGAAACAAAUUAGGAUUCAAACCUAAAAGUAAAAUGCAUGUGCCAUUGAAACUACAAAAGACAAUAGAAAAAUGAGUAGAAAAUCCAUAUAAAUAUUUCUAGGGUUACAAUAUCUCUCAAUUAGACCACUGUUCUUAAUUAGAUUAUAUGUCACAAAUCUGAUUAUUGUUUUAUAUAGCUCUCUGUCUAAAUAACUUAAGAUAUAAUUCAACUUAUUAGUUUAUGUUAACGGAAGUUUUUUUUUCUUCUAACUGGGGGUUUUAAUGAGGUAAACAAGAGUGAAUGAGUUUGGAGAAAAGAAAGGAAAUUAACCUUGGAAAAGGGCUGUUUUUGACUGCUUUCUGACCGUAUUUUCUCCAUCUAUAUCCAUCUUCAAGAUUAUCAAUUUCGGUUUUGGUCAAGAAGGCGAAUCGGGGCCCUUUUUCUCUUUUCUCCUUCUUUUUUCCUUCAUCCCUAUACAAUCCAUAUCAUAUUAGAUAAUAGUAACACGAUGUUUCAUCUCAAAAUUAUAGCGACGAUGUUUCAUCUCAAAAUUAUAGCGACAUGUAUUUACAAACAUUAUAAUUUUCCAUAAUUUUUUCAUGGUAGGAUUCUUAAUAUAUAUUAUCUCAAGACAAAAUAUGAGUAUAUGAGUCAUGAAAGAGUACUUACAAUGGACAUUUAAUUUGGUAAUAUAUCCAAUUAGUUAUAAUUCUAUUAUCUGAGAAAUAAUUUCAUCUUAUAACAUUUUCUUAAAUAAAUAUUACCCAUCUCAAUUUUCUUCUAUAUUCAGAUUUUAAAAAAUAACCUAUAGUGUUGACCUCUUUUGAAUUUUAUCUUGUAAAUUUGUUUUUUGUUUUUAACAAAUGAUAAAAAAAAUCAUUAGAUGUGUAACAUCUCAUGGAACUAGAUUGACGCACCUUUUAAAACUCACACCAUACUCACACCAUACUACAAUAACAUUGAGCAAAAGAGAAGUAAAAGAAGAAAAGUACACAAUAACAUUUAGCAAAAGAGAAGUAAAGAAGAAAAGUACAGUCUUGAGAGCUAGAGAAGCUCUCUCAACAACAUAACAUUCAUCAAACCCUAUCUAUUUCUUUUGUUUGUUGAUCAUUGACUAUUUUGCAUAAAUUGAAAAAUUAACAAUUAAAUUUUAAAAAGUGGAAAAGCAACUCUGAAAUCAAGCUCCGAAAAUCCUAUGGAAGGAGUUAGUUUAGAGAGAAGACACCUUACACUUUCUUGCUAUUUUCUCCCUUUUUAUCAUCAAACCCUUUCACCUCUCCGCUCUUGGAAGAAUCACCACCACCCGCGACAACCUCAUCGGACGAACACGUAGUAGAGGAACAAUUCGGUGUUGAUGGGUGCUCACCAGUCACCACUGACGACAGAUCUCGACCGAGACUUGAUGACUUCUUCAAAGCAUCGUCGACCGAAGAAAUAACCUCGGACGACGAGCAUGACAUCUCAAUGGGAGUAGAGAAGAUGUUGUGGUAGUCAUAUUGAGAUGAGGCAUGUGAGAAAUCAGAAUAAAACCCCACACUAGAAGGAGCAAUAUCAAAAGCUUCAUAAUAAGGGUUUGUCAAAGGAGGAGGAACUUCAAAGGGUUUUUGAUGAUGAAAGUUGUGAGUGAAAGGAUCAAAUUGUGGGUAAUAAGGAUGAUCCUCUUCCUUCUCAUGGUCAUGACCUUCAUUUGACAUUCAGAGAAAUUGGAAUUAGAAAGAUUAAAACUAGAAAGAAGAGAGGCUGAAUUUAGAUCUUUCAAUUUACUUCAUCUAUGAUGUUUUUUUUUCUUUUUUUUUUUUUGGGUGUGUAAAAAAGUGAACUUUGCCUUAGAUCUUUGUCCUAUUAUACACACAACUAGAAGGGAUGAAGUUAGAAAUAUGUCUCGAAUUGGAUGGUGGAUUUUUGCUUAUUAGAUCUACUUCUUAAUUUCUAAACGGUGAAUUUUCUAAUAUAUAUAUAUAUAGAUAUAUUAUAUAAUAGAAUAGAAUAAUAUUAUUUCAUUCACUUUUAAUUAAUUAAUGGAAAUAUUAACAAAAAGAACUUUAUUGGGGUCAAACUUAUAUUAGUUUAGUACUCAAUUUAAAAUUGAGCUUCCAUUUGCUUUAGAACUAAUUUAAAAUUGGUGAAAUUAAUACACCAACUAACCCAAUCAUCAAAAAUGUAGAAACAUACUACAUAUUUUAAUGUAAACGUGAAACUCUUCAUCAUAAGAUUUCAAAGUUUUCCAAAACAUUUCCACCUUAAUUAAGUCUGCUAUCUAAAACUUUGUAGACCAAAACAAAGUUUCACUAAACCCUUAAGAGAGACUGUGUCAUAAAUAACCUUCCAUUCUUCUUGUUUGUACUUCUUUUUCUCCUCAAGAAAAUAAAAUUACUUCUCCUGGUAGCUAUCCAUAAAUGUAAAAAAACAUAUCGUUAAUGAACUGCAUCAAAUUUUUAUUGUUCUUUAUACUUUGUUUGUCGAUUAGUAUUCUUGUCACAACCCUAUGUACUAACCCUAUAUAUAGUACAUGAGAGGAAGCGUAUUUCACUCAUUUUUAUCGCUAUCAAUCAUAUUUAAUUUAGGUAGAAGAAGUCAAUAUUUAUGUUAUGAAUAAUGGAAUAAGAAUAUGAUUUAGGGGUCAAAAUUUUCAGCUUUUUAAAUACUAAAUUCUCGAGUUAGGUAGAGAUGUGUGUCUGCCAAAUUUACCUAUAAUGUACCAAGACGUCUUCAUUACAUUGUUUCUUUUGUUUCUUUUUUAAGUUAAAUUUUAUUUUUUUUCCUUCAUAAAGUUCAUACAACAAAAGAAUCUACAAACCAAUAAUUAAACUGUUCCACCAUCACGCUUAUGGAUUGGACUUCGAUAGAAUUUGAAUGAUCAUUCUUUAAUCUUUAUGCCUGCAAUUCUCUCCAUUCUUCCUUACAUUUUUGUACUUUUUUUCCCAACUUUCAUUUGCUCAUCAUUUGCUAUAUGAGUUUGUGGUUUUUAUUUAUAUACAUUUUGCAUACUGUUCUAGUACAUAUUAUUUAUCUAUCUCUCUUUUCACUUGUCCCUGUUGAAUUUAUGUAUAUGAGUGUGUUGAUGGGGCUUGGCAUGUGCGGGUCGUGGUGAUAUUGCACGAAAAGGUAGAUCGGUGGGAUUUAGCACGCGUAGGAUGAAAAUGGUAUGUGUGUUAAAUGUUUUGAAUUCCUUUUUAGUCCAAGGAUUAGAAGAAUCUAUAUAGUUGCAUGGGAGAAUGGUAUAUGUGUGUGUUAGGAAUGCCUCUCUAGAAUUUGUAAUCUAUUUCUCUAGUAAUAAAUUGUUUCUUUGUUAACCGACAUAACUCACAAACUAUCGAGGAAUUACAUAUGUUUAUUUUUUAUUAUUUAUGUUUAUUUUUUUAACUUUGAUGGUUGAAUUCCAUAUAACAACUAUGGGUAAGUUAUGAACUUUUAAACCUUAGAUGUUAUUUCAUAAUAUUAAACUAUUACUAGUUUGAUAUCUACUCUUUUCUCUUUUUUUCAUAUGGGUAAGUUAAUUUGGCUCCAUAUUUUAUAAAUAAUGCCUUAGGAAAAAGAAAAUAAAAGGAAGAAAAGAAAAAGGGUUGUAGAUUCAUCUCAUUUAGUGCACAAUCUUCCACUUUUUACAAAACAGCACUCAUUUGAGAUAAUGAUCUAAUGGAGGAAAUAAGAUAAGGAAUAACUAUGUACUAAGAAAAAGUACAAAACCUAAAAGACCAAAUUUCGAUUAAUUAUGACAUGAAAAAGGACACAAUUAUAUGCAUGGAUGAGCUAAUAUGAAAUUGAAGUGAUGAAAUGAUAUGAACCAACAUAUCUUAUAAACUAUACAAAAUCUUUCUUCAAACUAUAUGAUGUCUUCUUUUUUUUUUUUUUUUUUUUAUAAUAUAUUGCUACUUCUCGUAGAUCCUUUUACACACAUCAAAGAGAUAGUGAGGGAAUGAACAAAAACUACAAAAGAAAAUUAAGUAUAUAAGUAAAACAAUAAUAUAGGUCUUUCAUUAAUACACAUGACCUAAUUUUGAGUAGAGCUUAAAAAAGAAACCAUACAAAUUUAGGGUUAUAUAAUUAUAGAUAUAUAGGUGGAGGAGAUGAAGAACAUAAUGUAGCUUUUUGGUGAUUGAUGUUGAUAGAGAUAUGGAAACAUUAUAGAAAGAAUAAUUAAUUUUGAAAAAAUAAAUGGGGAAAGGGGUGAGAUAUUCAUGAUACAAUAGAAACAAUGGUAUAUGUAGUAGCAUCAUCAUCGUGAUUGAAGAAAAAUGAAGAAUAUUGCAUAUAAAACCAAAGAGAGGCAAUAAUAAUAAUAACAAUAAUAAUAAUUUGUCCAAUGUGGGGGUGAUUGAAAUGGGAUGGAAUAAUUUUUUUUUUUUUUUAAAGUAGGGAGUUUUGAUGGAGAAGUCACCAAAAAAAGAGAUACCCACAUGGGAUGUGAAGAAAUAAAAUCAAUAAACCAGCUGUGGAAUAGCUUGACAUUAUUGACUUUUUUUUUUUUUUUUUGCCUAUUUUAAGGACUUUAUUAUAUAUCACAUAUACUUUAAUAUAUUAUUUUUAAAAUUAAAAAAAAAAAACUCAUGGGGUUUCUUGCCUGCAAACUGCAACUUUUCCAAUCGUGACAGAUUUUUAGUCAAUUGGGGGCAGUUAUAAGUUAGGUUUGUGACAUAUAUAAUAAUAAUAAUAAUAAAAGUAUAAAUUUAUAGUUUCUAAAAUCUACCUAAUUAGAUUUAGAUUUGUGUAUAUAAUAUGUGCAUUGCUUUCUUUUUCACGUCAUGCAUUUAUGAGCAUUUUCAUCAAAGUUAGCCCUUUCAACUUUUUAAAAUAUAAUCAUAAAUUAGGAGAUUCAUGGAGAAGAAAAAACUAUAGAAUAAAUUUGAAUUCUAAAAACUUAGGUGAAGAAAAAAUUUUGAAAUUGAAAGAUUGUCAGUCAAAACAUUGAUUUAGGUACAUACUUUUAAGUGAGAAAGAGAGGUAGACAUUUAAAUUUAAAUUAAAAAACUCUAAUAAUAAAUAUUUAACAAAUAAAACAAAACCAAAAUCAAAAUCAAAAGUUUAAGUAAAAUGUGUGUAAAUACCCCUUAGUCCUACCCCAUAAAUGUAUCACUAUCAAAUGUUGUGGUCAACUUUUACUUGCCCACAUCCUUUUAGCAUUCUUGGCCACGUCCCAGUGCUGUAUUAAUCAAUACUUUCUUCUAUCACUAUGACUACACACUUCCAUCUUUUAACUAAUGAAAAAUAGGGUAGUAACUGGUAGGAUUACAAAUAACAAAAUCCCAACUUUUUAAAAAGUUUAGACUAUAACUUUAAAAAGAAUUAGAGUUCCUAUGCCUUUUCUUCUUCUUGCUAUAAAUAAAGAACAGUGGUAUAUAUAAACUUAAAUUUAUAAAUAAAAGAAAACAUUGUGUCAUAUAAGGGGAAUAUUUUUGAAUGUAUAGGGAAUUGAAACUUGAAAAUAUAAUUAAAAAAAAAUUAAACGAAAGAAGAAUGAUAAAAAUUGUAAAGAUAUAUUUGUGGGAGUGGAAAUUUCAAAGUCAGAGAAAGAUGCAGUCUUCGAAACAGCCAUCUAACCACUAAAGUUUAUUUAUUUUUUUCAAUAAAUAAUCAUAAUAAUAAUACCAAAAGGAAUCUUUAUAUUAUAUAGUUACUCAUUGGUUUUUCUCCAUAAAGACAUUACAUUUCAUGUCAGAACCUUAUAAUAAUAAUAAUUUAACUAAUUAAUUAAUUAAAUAGAAAGUCUCUUAAUCAAACAAAUUGAUAUAACCAAAACACCACUUUAUUGAAGUAGCUGAUCACUUACUUUAUGUAUGAACUUUGUCAUAUCCCUCUUAUCAUAUUCCAUUCAAACCCUCCAACGUCAACAUUUCUGUUCUAUUAUUUCUUUAAUUCAAUACAAAUUUUGUCAAACAUAUAGGUUAUAAAUAUUUUGAAAGAUAUAUAUGGCAUAAGUUCAUACAUAUAUGUUUCACAAACAAGUUACAAGUAUUUUAAUUGUUAUAGUUAGAAAUCACCUUUUUUUUUUUUUACAAAUAAUUUGGAGUGAAGUAAACAAAUAAAAUUGAAUUACAAAAAAGCAGCAAAAAUGGUGAAAAAAAUGAGAAGUAAUGUGUGGCAGUGUGGGUGGGGAAAAAAGAGUUGGUGGGAAGUGAUAAUGAAUUAGGAGAAUGUCAAAAUCAGGUUUUGUGUCCUUCAAACCUAUAAUUUAAUUAUAUGCAUAUGCUCCCUACCUCACUUCCAUAUUAAUAUAAUUUCACUUUAAUAUCCCCAUUAUUUUACACAUUUAGCUUCACUACAUUCCUCUAUUCACCGCCAUCAUUCUCUACUCUCCCUUAUCACUCAUUUUUCCUUUUAUUCUAUUCAACACUUCUUUUUUCUCCAUUUUCUCUAUUUUUCUUACAUUGUUCACUCCUCAAUUUUAAAACUUCUCUUCUACUUAAUUUAUAAACUUCAAUCUUAUAUAUAUAUAUAUAUAAAAGAAAAUUUAGAUCUACCCAUUUCCAAUUUUUCAUUUGAUAUUUCAUUCCCCUAUCCACAUAUAUAUUCUUUCUAAAAACUUUUUAAAAAUUCAUAAACGUUUUAAAAAUUUACGAGCUAAACUUGUAAUUUAUUUUUAGCUUAAAUGUCAAAUUAGAAAUUUGGAUUUUAGUUGUUUGGUAGGCGGCUGUCACUUUAAUAAAUUUAACUUAAGUUAAUUUUGUGUUUAAGAGAUAUCUCUAAAUUUUUUUAAAAAGAUGUUUAAUACUUAUAUUAAAAAUAUUUUUUUUUAUUAUACAAUCAAUAUGAUUAAAAAAUCUUUUAGAGACACGUAAAUAGUAAAAACUAAUUUAAUAUAUAAUCAAUUGAAUAUUUAAUUGCAUUUUCUUAAUAAACAAAGAGUGAUAUGUGAAAAAUGUCAUGUUAAUUACUAUGAAUCAAACUCAUUUUAGUAUUAAUUAUAAAUUUAAUUCAUAAAUAUUCAAAUUGAUGUACAUUUAAUACCUUUUAGUUUUAAGUGUUUAAUAGAUGUGUAGGAGAUAUAUUAAAUAAACAAAAGUUGUUGUAUCAUAUACAAAAUUGAAAAUUUAGAAACCAUACACCAUUUAAUUCAACGUAUUAGAGUGAAAAAUGAAAAAUUGAUGGAGGUAUAUGGUAUACAAUUGAGAGUUGAUUUACCCAUAUUGUAGUUUAGGUCAAUUAAAGUAGUUAUUAAUUGUAAUUAAGAAACAUGAUUGAGAUUAAUAAUAUAUGUGGUGUGUGGGGUUAAUAUAUAAUAAUAAUAGUAGUAAUAAAGCAUAGAAAGUAGGGUGUUUUUUGCAAAUGGUUUUACUUUUGAGGGGGAGUGGAGCAAAGAGAAAGAUAAUGGAUUGAGGGAAAACGUCGUUUCACUUUCAAGUGUGGGGUUCCAUUUUAUCAUUUCUUUCCUUCCUCUGCCAAAUCAAAGGCUACAAAAAGUACUAAUUCCAUUGCUCCAUUCUAUUUUUCAUUUACUAUCUCUCUUAGUAUAAUAAUCCUUCAAAAUAACAUCCAAACUUCUCUUACACAUGCAAAUAAAUUACUAUUCAUAACUAAGCUUACGUUUUACAUGCUUUUCAGUCGGUAUACGUUUUACUAAUCUCUCUUAAAUUUCAAUUCAAUCGGUAUAUUUACAAAAGUUGACGAGAGUGAAUAUUUUUUUUUUCCUUUUAUUAUUUCAAUUUACUUCAAUUGAGAUUCUAAUUAUCCAAAUUGAAAUACAUAAAUAUAUAAUUACUUACUUUUUGACAAUGAUUCAUACAUUCACAGAGAAAAGCACAUCACAUCACAGGAACCUUUUUGCUUUAACCACAAUUAUCAAAUAAAUAUCACAUCAAAAUUACCAAAGUUUGAAUAAUCAUGCAUAUGCAUACACAUAUAUGAAACACAAUAAAUUUCAACGGAAAUUCUAAUUAAAAAGGAAAAACAUGCAAUUGGGUCUUAGAAAAAAGAGGAAAAGAUAUGUAACAUUUUUACCUACUUAGACAAUAUUUGAAUUACCAACUCCACACCAAUAAUACAUAAACAAACAUCAAUUCAAUCUAAAAAAUGUUAAAACAAAUUACAAAUGUUGGAUAGAUGAGUAGGUUUUUGACAAAUAUAGAAUAGCUUUUAUGGCCACGCCAAAAUUUACUAUUAUUAUGUAAGUGAUUUAAAAAGUCCCACGUGAUUAUUGAAGAUAUAAACCAUGCAAUUAAUUUAAAUCUUGGAUUGUGAAAUUUCAAACUCAAUUAUGUUUUUUUUUCUUUCUUUUAAAUAUCAAUUUAUCACUAAGAUGGUUAAGGGUGGAUUAAUAAUCGUUUUUCAAAUUAAUUUCUAAAAAAUGUUUGAAUGUAAAAUUUGUGGUGUAAAAGAAUCACAAAAAUUUCUGGGAUUACUCUUAAAUGUUUUGAGCAUUUGUCGAGCAUUUGUCUCAUGUUGACAUUAUUUUGAUGGCAACCUUGAUUGAUAUAUCAUUAAGUAUUCCUAUUAUUGCUUUUGACCAUUUAUUUAAACUGUUUCACAAAUUUAUGAGUACCAAUUUGUUUUCUUCAUAUUUAAUCAAAUUAAUUAUUAAAAGUAUAAAAUGCAUUUUUGUAAUUCAAACUAUAUAAGAAUUUAUCUACAGUAUAUUAUUGUGAAAAAAAUCUCGAAUAAUAUUCUUAUAAGAAAAUGUGGAACACCACUUAUUUACUUUACAGCUGAUUUCUUAAAACUAAAGCAAUGCGGACUAAUUAUUCAAAGAGAAAGAGAGAGAGAGAGAGAUGCUACCUAUAAAACAACAUAAAAUUAUGGGCUUUUCGGCCCGAAUGCACUCUACAAAAUAGUUCAACCCAAAAAAAAUUAUUUGGGCUUUAUGAUAGUCUGUCUUUGGGCCUCGAUUUGGGUUGUGUGUAUUUUUUUAUAUAAUUAAAUAAAAAAAUAUUUACAGCCGGCUGUGUAAUAAAAAAAUAAAAAAAUUAAGGGUAAUUAUAAUUAACAACUAUUUCACAAAAAUAAUUGAGGGUAUAACAACAUUUAAAAAAAUUGUAAAUAUAGUAAAACUAUCGCUGAUAGAUUUGUAUGAUCUAUCAAUAAUAGACUAAUAUUUACAACAUGGUUGAUAAAUAUAUUUAAUUAUUUUGCAUUUAAUGGCUAAAUUUGCAACUAUCCCAAAAAUUAAAGCCUAUCGAGCCACCAUUAUUUUUUCAUAAAUUUAAGAUUUUCUAUUUGUUGUUUUUUAAUAUUGCGAAACCAUUAUCACUUCAUUUCUUUUUCAUAUUCUUUGCGAUUUAUUCUUCUUCUCUUCCUAUUAGUACUUCUCUUUCUUCAUAUUAUCACUUCUUCUUGUUUGUGAUUGCUUCAUUUUCUCUUCCAGAAUUUAUUUCUUCUUCUUCACCUCUCAUCUUCUUUUUUUUUCUUAUCUGUACAAUAUCUAAACGAUAUUGGUAUAGAACCUAAAUGAUUGUGUACAUUGUUUAGACCACUAUCAUUAAUAGAGCGUUUAGACUGGGUAUAAGAUCUUUAGACUAGACAUAAGGGUACAAGAUUUUUGAAAUUUAUGUUCUAAAACUCAUAGUUUGUAAUUAUAUUCUAUUCAAUAAAGUCAUUAUAUUUAAUACUAUAAUCUCGAGUUAAAUAAACUAAGGUCUCAAGACUAUCUAGUGUAGACUUAAACUUUAUGUAUAGACAUAAAUGUGGAUCAAGUUCAAGUAUAUAACCCAAACGAUCUAUAGUUUAUGAAUAAAGAUUGGACUCUUUAUUCUGGGGACACUAUGGAUGCGACCCACUUUGUAUAGUUUGGAGAAAUGAUGUGAUUCUGAAUCAAUCAUAUACAGACAUGGAAGUGGGGGCAUCUUAUGUUAAGAGUUUACAUAAGGUUGGAACCAUGAAAUAGUCACUUUUAAGUUGUAACAUUGGUGACUUUAAUAAAAUUGACUAUUUUGUUUAAAGUUAUGUUUAUGUAAUUUAAUCUUAAUCUUGAGCUAACUAUGAACUCAUGUUCACAUUUCUUAAAUUUGUAUAGGUGAGAGUAGCUCAUUAACGUUGGUCCAAUAAGCCUCCCAUUUUCGGAUAAGACAAGUGGAUAGUUGAAGACAUAUGGUGCAAGACGAAAUUCACUCCUACUCACUUUAUAGUUAGUAGAUAGAUUGUUUUCUUAAGAACUGAAUUCAAGUCUUGAACAAAAGACCCCACCCUCUCGUUGGCCUGAGAGGGAUCCAAUUUACAGGUUGCGUCUAAAACCAAUUGUUCAAUAGUGGAUCAUUGGGACCUAAGGAGCAAGAUGUAGUCUCGAGGGUUAAACGACACUUUGACCCAGUCAAGAUUACGAACACUUGUAAAAGAUUAACUUACUUAUCAUGGUUAUAUCACAUAGACACAAAUAUAUCUAUAGUGAGGGAAGUGCAACUACAAGACUUUAGUGGAAUGACCUGUUAGUUGCCAAAUGUUGAUUAGCUCAAUCUAUAAGGGUUUAGCCAGUUAAUCUCGGAUCAUUGCAGCCCACGAUCUAUAGGUCCAUUAGGUUCCUUUGUUAGCUCAUAAUGAAUACACUUAGAACAAUAUGUUGGAAUAAUUUGUAUUGUUAGAAUUAGGUAAAGAGAGAGAAACCGACGAAUAUAUGUGAUAUAGUCAUCGGUUAUAAGUUUGAGAUAUAAAUUUAUGUUUAAAUAUAAUUGAAUAUUAAAAAUAUGAAUAUGAAUUCAUAUUCAGAAACUCAUAAUUGAUGGAAACGGUUAAAGUUGACAAAAGUCAAAAUGUUGAAUUUUGACUUUAAAAAGUCAAACUUUGACCAACUUUAUAUUCAAAUGUGAUUUGAAUUUUAAACAAUGAAUGUGAAUUUAUGCUUGGGAGGUCAAAAUUAGUCAAAAUGGAUAAAAUGGUAAAAAAGUCAAAAUGUUGACUUUUGACUUUGACUUGAAUGGUCAAAUUAACUUACUUAUCAUAGUUAUAUUGAACUUUUACUUGACGCGAAAAAAACGUCAAGUAAAAGCUAAUGUAAAAUAGUUCGGAAAACUGUGUGAAAACUUCAUUUUUUUUGAAGCUAUACUUGACAUAUUUUCUUUAAAAUGGUUAAUAUUUGACGUUUCUUUUAAUAAAAUCGUCAAAUAUGUAAAAGAAGCUAGUGUCAAGUAAACCCUUUUUUUGUAGUAGUGAUAAUCAAGAAAAUGUUUGUGCUAAUCGUUACUUCUAGAAAAAGUCUACAUCUUUGUCACCUUUUAUCAUGCUAAAAAAAAUAUGAAUAUGGCCCAACCUUUAAUUUUAAAAUAGAAAAUAAUAUUAGAUUUUUUCAAAUAAAUAAUAGUAAUACUAAUAAAAUCAAAGCAUGAAGAAAUGUAGCUAGCUUUAUGAGUGAUUUUGUUGAUCCAUAGAUUGAGUGCAAUCUUGAUUGAAAUAGGUCAAAAGUACAAAAGAAUAUUGGAAUAUGGAAUCACACCUUUAAUUUUAUUCAAAAUAUUGAAAACUAAACUUUAUUUCCCAUUUUUUAUUUACUAUAUGUAAUAUAAUUUUUUUAAAAAAAAUUAAUUCAUUUUCCAUGCUUCUAGAAAUUUCGUUAUAUUCUUUUUUAUUCAAUUCAAACUUAUUUGUAGUUGUUGUUUAAAAGCAAAACUCACAAAAUUGUAAUAAAACAUUACUCGUUUAAUUAAUUCAAAAAACAAUACUACCAUUUGAUCAUUUUUAACUUCUAAGUUGUAACGUCUUAGACAUCCUUUCUUUUAGUUAGUUUUUAAAAAUAUUUGCCAAAAUGUUAAUGUCAUAGAAUUACAUGUUGAUUUAUUUGAUGAAACUUGACCACUAAUGUAAUUAAAUUAUAGUUUAAAAAGAUGCAGCUUGACUGCUUGAGCAUGACUAUAUGUAAGAGGUUUUAUUUUAAAAUUAAAAAAUUGAUUAAGAUUCAAGAUAUUCUUCUAGCAAAUAAAAAAGAAGACUUAAAGAAUGAGAGUCCAUGAGAUGGUUUUGAAAUGAACAAAGUGGGCACUUAUUUAAUAUUUUAGGGUUAAGUGAAAAGGUUGGAAUUGGAUAAAUUUGAUAAAGACAAAAGAAUAGCCAAAUUCUUAGUUUGAAGUAUUAGGCCACAUUAACCAUAUGACCAUAUUUCAUCACUUUCCAAUAUGUUAAUUAAAGUGAAAAUGACACCAUCUCUAUAACCAAUGACCAUACACUAUUCCAAAUUUAAUAAUAAUAAUUUUUCUAUAAAAGAAAUAAAAUUAAAUAUUAGAAAAGGGUUGGUAAACCAACCAUAUAUACUUGCCUAAGAUUAAGUUUUUUUUUCCCUUGAAAGAGAUGUGCAAGCAAUGAAACAAUAGCCUUUAUUUUCCUUUGCUUUUAACUUUUUUUUUUUUUCUAAUUCUUUUCCUUUUUUAAUAAAUACUAUUCUUCUCUUUAUUUGUUUAACCUUCUUUUGUUGAACAAGAUGUUGAUUGCAUUACCUCUACCCUUUUAACUUCAUUUCUUAAUUUGAUGUUUUAUCAUGAUGAGAAUAAAGAUGUAACCACAAUCUUUUUUACUUUUUGUCUAAUCAUCAUAUUUUUGAACAAUUAUAAUGUAAUAAUUAUUUUUAAUGAAAAAGGAAACAGAGAAGAGGUUUAGUUUGUAAAUAUGUUAGGAGAUGAGUUUUGAUGUAAAUGGAAUUAAAUAUUCAAUUCAUUAACUUAAAAUUUUUGUAGAUAUGUGAGGAAACCAACAAAAAAUAAUCAUAUUAGGGUUGCUGGACAUGACUAAUAACUAUUUUAAGGGUCUUUAACGCUAGGAUUUUUCAAAACCAUAAUAACCAUCUUUUUCGCUACAAUGAAUACAAUUUUGUACUCUUCCAAUAGCUAUAGUUAACACAAAUCAAAACCCUCAAAAUACUACAUUUUUUUACUAAUUUACAUUAUAAUUCUUUUAUUGGCUACAUGGUAUACUAUUUCUUUCUCAAACAUAUAUUUAACGUUAUCAUUUUACAUGUAUUAUAUGUAUUUGGAUAGGUAAGAUAAUUAAAGUAUAGAAGUUAAAUAUAUGUUUGAUUUACCCAAUUUAAUAUAUAUAUAAAAAACAAGAUUAUAAAUCUCUCAGAAAACAAAGUUACAUAGUUAACUAAUUAAAUGAAUGAGAAUAGUCAUAAAUUAAAAUUAACAUUAUUGAAUGUAUUAUCAUUAUAGUCCUAAACAUUAAUUUAAUUACUAAAAAUAAUUAAAUAAACACAAAUUGCUCAUAAUAUCAAUAAUGCAUUUUAAUAUUAAAUAGUUACGAUAGUAAAAUAUUAUUUGCAUAUAUAUAAGUUAAAUUUAUUUAUAAAUAAUAUAUUUAUAUUUAAUAACAAAUGAACGAGACAUUCAUCUUGGCAAAAAAGAGAGAAAAAAAACCAGAAAUUUAUGAUGUCUAUCUCUUCUUGGGGCACACAUGAAGUGUACUGGAAAAUCCAUGUCAUAAUCGUACAAGUUUUUAAGUUCUAUAGAGUAGGAUAAUAGUAUCAUAAGAAAAAAAAAAUGGAAUUAUGUCAAUAUUAAAUGUAGCAUAUGUUAUAAAUAGAUUAUAUAGAAUCGGUAGAUUUCAGUGUUGAGUUAAGUAUCGUAUUACCAUCUGAAUUAGCUUAAAGUAAAAGAAAAACUAGUGAUUAGUAUGAUAUGUGCUAUAUAAAAUGAAUAAAAGUAUUUUUGUAAGGAAAGGAUAAAUGGUUAAUUUUAAAUAUCUAAAUGUUAAUAAUUUUGAUUAGUAACCCAUCUUCCCACGUUUUAAGGAUAUUUAUCUUGAUUGAGGAGAUUAAAUUGUUGAUUUUUUCUUAAAUCUAUUUUUUAAAAAAAUAAUUAGGUGACAAAGUUUGAUAUUUAUGUUUGUUUAUUUAUUUUUAGCAUUUUCUUGAAAGAAAAAAUGUUAAUUUUCAGUUUAAUAUGUUUACUACUCUCACCCUAAAUCAAAACAAUUCUAUUAAAACAAGUGCUAUUUUUGAAAAUGCAUUAACAGUUAUAUUUUUAUCAUGUAAGAAGAUAUAUUAGUUUGUACAUGAUAUAUUUGAAAAUGCAUGUAAAGUAUAGGGUUUUGUUUUAAGAAAAUAACAGUAUUUACCUUGUCUAAAACAAUUUUGAAAACGAAAAAAGUUCACAGACUCACAAUGAAAAAUGUCAAAAAUACCUAAGUCAACAUAUGAUUAAUUGACCACAUGCACACAUAUAAUUCUUCUUCCAAACGAUCAUGAACCAAGAUCAUUUAGAUAUUGGUACACGAUCGUGCACUAAGAGCUAAACAAUCAUGUACAAAAUCUAAAAGAUCAUGGUUCAAGAUCAUAUACUAAUAUCAUUUAUGUUUAGUACAAGAUCGUGUACAAAUAUCGUUGAGAUUUUGUACACAAUUAUUUAGCUUUUGGUACGUGAUCGUAUACCAAGAUCUAAACAAUUCUUGUUCAAUAUCGUGUACCAAGAUCUUUUAUAUUUGGUACACGAUCUUGACCCAAGAUUGUUUAGAUCUGAAAGUGAAAAUAUAUGAGAGAUGACGAAGAUCGUUUACUAAGUGUGAAUUUGAAUAAGUGAAAAAAGAACAAAAAAAUAUGAGAGAUAACGAAAAAAGAAGAAAUUUUAGAAGAGAAAAUGAAGAAAUCACAAACAAGAACAGGUGAAAAAUGAGGAAGAAGAAGUAAUAACACGAACAGAAGAUGAAUAAAUCACAAAGAAGAAGAAAAAAAUGAAAAAAAAAUUGUCUGCAUUAACAAACAUGGAAUUUAGAAAAAUAUAAUGAGUUUUAUACAUAUUUUUUUAUUUUUUUAUUUUUAUAAAAAAUUAACCUAUAAAGAGUAUUUUAAAAAAUAGCAAAAUAUUAAAACUACCCACAAAAUAUAGAAAAAUUCAAUCAACCCUCUCUAGUUUUUUUCAUAUCCAUAACAGUUCCAAAAAAUGGAAGAAUAAAAUGGUUUUAUAUAACUUUUGAUGGGCAACUUCAUUACAAGAUCGAAGAAUAAGAUUAACACUCAAUACGUGGGUCUGACUCAUCUGAUCUCCCAUUUCAUCGAGCUAACAAGAGAGGCAAAAUAAAACGUUUUAUUUUGAAAAA
RNAcentral lists this long non-coding RNA (31097 nucleotides) under Cucumis sativus (cucumber). RNAcentral's name for it is "long non-coding RNA (CSAT_LNC002273)". The record is from RNAcentral. Lineage: Eukaryota; Viridiplantae; Streptophyta; Magnoliopsida; Cucurbitales; Cucurbitaceae.